Molecule: ribosomal RNA, 770 nt
Filed under: uncultured bacterium
Lineage: Bacteria
Description: bacterial SSU rRNA
Rfam family: Bacterial small subunit ribosomal RNA
Source: RNAcentral
AGAGUUUGAUCAUGGCUCAGGACGAACGCUGGCGGCGUGCUUAACACAUGCAAGUCGAGCGGAAAGGCCCUUCGGGGUACUCGAGCGGCGAACGGGUGAGUAACACGUGAGUAAUCUGCCCCUAGCUCUGGGAUAGCUCCGGGAAACCGGGAUUAAUACCGGAUACGACCACCUUAGACAUCUUUUGUGGUGGAAAGAAUUUCGGCUAGGGAUGAGCUCGCGGCCUAUCAGCUUGUUGGUGGGGUAACGGCCUACCAAGGCGACGACGGGUAGCCGGCCUGAGAGGGCGACCGGCCACACUGGGACUGAGACACGGCCCAGACUCCUACGGGAGGCAGCAGUGGGGAAUAUUGCGCAAUGGGCGAAAGCCUGACGCAGCGACGCCGCGUGGGGGAUGAAGGCCUUCGGGUUGUAAACCCCUUUCAGCAGGGACGAAGCGAAAGUGACGGUACCUGCAGAAGAAGCGCCGGCUAACUACGUGCCAGCAGCCGCGGUAACACGUAGGGCGCAAGCGUUGUCCGGAAUUAUUGGGCGUAAAGAGCUCGUAGGCGGUCUGUUGCGUCCGCUGUGAAAACUCGGGGCUUAACCCCGAGCCUGCAGUGGAUACGGGCAGACUAGAGGUAGGUAGGGGAGAAUGGAAUUCCCGGUGUAGCGGUGAAAUGCGCAGAUAUCGGGAGGAACACCGGUGGCGAAGGCGGUUCUCUGGGCCUUACCUGACGCUGAGGAGCGAAAGCGUGGGGAGCGAACAGGAUUAGAUACCCUAGUAGUCC